RNAcentral lists this small RNA (443 nucleotides) under Pongo abelii (Sumatran orangutan). RNAcentral describes it as "processed transcript". The record is from RNAcentral. Lineage: Eukaryota; Metazoa; Chordata; Mammalia; Primates; Hominidae.
AACUUGUGUCAGAUAGCACUGAUGUCAAUAAAUGAAGUUUAGUUCUUUUGUUCAUUUAUGCUUUCAAAGACGCCGAAACGCCUGCCUUUAUGCAGCUUACAUUCCAGUGGGAGGACAGACAAUACACAAACAAUUAUGAUAAGCGACCAAAAAACUUUCCCCAGGGAAAAGAAAAUCCAAUGGUCCAGAGAACUUCUACAAUUUAUUCCUCCACACUUGGAGUCUUCAUGUCUCGUAAAGUUUCUCCACAUUAGUUUCUUCUCGGUACAACUCAAUAGCCUCCAUAAUCCUCUCAGCCUACAGAGGAUGAGAAAGGAAAGAAAUCAUCACAACACACUCCAUCAUCCCAGGACACUGAAACUGGAAGAACUGACUAGAAAUUUGCCAAAUGAAAUAGCUUCAAUCCGUUUAAUAAAGACGUGCUAAUAGAGUGCCAAAAAGCA